CCCUUAGAUGUUCUGGGCCGCACGCGCGCUACACUGACGGAGCCAACGAGUACUUUCCUUGUCCGGAAGGACUGGGUAAUCUUGUGAAACUUCGUCGUGCUGGGGAUAGAGCAUUGCAAUUAUUGCUCUUCAACGAGGAAUUCCUAGUAAGCGUGAGUCAUCAGCUCGCGUUGAUUACGUCCCUGCCCUUUGUACACACCGCCCGUCGCUCCUACCGAUUUCGAGUGGUCCGGUGAAUCUUUUGGAAUUAGAGUGCAAACUCAAACUAAGAUCGAUAAACCUUAUCACUUAGAGGAAGGAGAAGUCGUAACA
RNAcentral lists this ribosomal RNA (312 nucleotides) under uncultured eukaryote. RNAcentral's name for it is "partial 18S ribosomal RNA". It matches the Rfam family "Eukaryotic small subunit ribosomal RNA", at positions 1470 to 1796 of the family's 1831-position model. The record is from RNAcentral.